CAUUCGCCUUGUCAUUUUGCCUAGUUAAAGUGUUUCAAUCCAAGGGAAAAGUUUUAACUCUUCCCCACCGGUUUUAAUGGAAGUUUCCGGCGAGAAAUAAAAAUAGAGAGAGAGAAAUGGGUACAGCAUCUUUUCGGGCAAUUUUUGGCCAAUCCGACCGUCGGAUCGGAAAUCCGAGGCCACCGAUGGACUCAGGAGGACGAGAUCUUCAAGAUAGGACUGGUCCCGCUCCGAUCGGACACUGUUUGAAAAAGGCGAUAAUCGGACGGUCCAGAUCGCUUGGUGCGAUCGGAUCGAGGAUGGCUCACCGGCGCCGGGACCGCAUUUUCAGCCAGAUCCGGCUGCCCGGCAGCCCGUCUCAGAACGUGGUCAAUAUUACAGUCAAUCCUAGCAUUUUCAGACGUUCUGGACGCGUUCCAGGUGUCAGAAUUGGCAUAGGUGAGCCGGGACAGCCUUCUUCCUCCGCCCAGCCGCCUCAGUGACCAUCGUCAAGUCUGCUACAGGAGGAUUUUAUUGUGGUUAACCUGCUUUUAUCCUUCGCAGGUUGUUUAUCCAUAUUUGUGUAAUUUUGUUUACUCCUAGAAUUUCCGCAUGUGUUAGAAGUAUUUAUUUGAUUAUGGUCUGUAAUAUUAUUAUCAUGUUGGACCUGUAAACGUAUAAUGAUAUGCAUGUUUGAUGGA
Molecule: long non-coding RNA, 680 nt
Organism: Hevea brasiliensis (rubber tree)
Lineage: Eukaryota; Viridiplantae; Streptophyta; Magnoliopsida; Malpighiales; Euphorbiaceae
Exons: 4
Source: RefSeq, a predicted model, not a curated record